UGGGGAAUAUUGCACAAUGGGCGCAAGCCUGAUGCAGCCAUGCCGCGUGUAUGAAGAAGGCCUUCGGGUUGUAAAGUACUUUCAGCGAGGAGGAAGGCGGUAAGGUUAAUAACCUUAUCGAUUGACGUUACUCGCAGAAGAAGCACCGGCUAACUCCGUGCCAGCAGCCGCGGUAAUACGGAGGGUGCAAGCGUUAAUCGGAAUUACUGGGCGUAAAGCGCACGCAGGCGGUCUGUCAAGUCGGAUGUGAAAUCCCCGGGCUCAACCUGGGAACUACAUUCGAAACUGCCAGGCUAGAGUCUUGUAGAGGCGGGUAGAAUUCCAGGUGUAGCGGUGAAAUGCGUAGAGAUCUGGAGGAAUACCGGUGGCGAAGGCGGCCCCCUGGACAAAGACUGACGCUCAGGUGCGAAAGCGUGGGGAGCAAACA
This 427-nucleotide ribosomal RNA is filed under the name uncultured bacterium. RNAcentral's name for it is "partial 16S ribosomal RNA". It matches the Rfam family "Bacterial small subunit ribosomal RNA", at positions 355 to 774 of the family's 1533-position model. The record is from RNAcentral.